RNAcentral lists this long non-coding RNA (620 nucleotides) under Carica papaya (papaya). Its description in RNAcentral is "long non-coding RNA (CPAP_LNC015202)". Lineage: Eukaryota; Viridiplantae; Streptophyta; Magnoliopsida; Brassicales; Caricaceae. The record is from RNAcentral.
GGUUUUACUUAUAUUUUUAAUUCUACAAUAAUGUAUUUAUAUUUUCAUAUGUUAAGAAAUCUAUUUUAUUAUAAAGGUAUAUUAUGAAUUUAGUUCAUUGAAUUAUGGGUUAUGUGACAUUGAAUCUCAAUUUUUUUUGUUAUAAUUCAAUUAGUGAACUUGUAAAAAUUAUUUGAAUGUGUGAUUUUUUUACUAAAAUAUUAAAAAUUCUUUCUUUAUUACUUGACGAAACAAAAAAGAAAAUUUUGAAAUUAGUAUAAUAUUUCUAUUUAGGAGUACUAAAUGUUAUAACCCAUACUUUAAAUGGAGUCACGAGUAUUCAUGCAUUUCAAACCAUAUAUUGUGGAUAAAUUGAGUAAGCAUAAAAUACAAAAAAAAUUAAAUUGUCUACAAUAUCAUCCCUUACACAUUAGUGUAAUUCAGAAUCAUUAGCCUCAAUCUUGGCAUACAUCAACUUCAAAAUGCUAAAAAAAAAUUUAGAGUUUAAAAGAUAGAACUGACACUAGUAGAUGUUAUCAUAAGUUCCGUAUAGCCAAGGGAUCCCACCACUGUUCUGGUUGGUCUUGAGCUUGUUCUUCAUUUUCUUAAUCUAACAAAUGGAAAGGGGUGAGCUGUAUGUG